CUUGUGCUAUCUAAGUGGUGUUGGUCAAAGUGUAGUAUCUUUUAUCAGCUUAAUAUCUGAUACGGGUUGUAUUUUGACCCAAGAUAUCAAACUGAUUUUUCCUAGUAGGCGGAGUGCUUGAAACCUGCUCCUCCUCCGCCUCGGGCCGGCCCAGUAUUGUACUCUUCCGGGAUCGGCCCACGUUUU
This is a small nuclear RNA of Dermacentor silvarum, 186 nucleotides long. RefSeq annotates it as U2 spliceosomal RNA. The record is from RefSeq and is a predicted model, not a curated record. NCBI's taxonomy places the organism in Eukaryota, Metazoa, Arthropoda, Arachnida, Ixodida, Ixodidae. The transcript has a single exon.